RNAcentral lists this ribosomal RNA (433 nucleotides) under uncultured bacterium. RNAcentral describes it as "partial 16S ribosomal RNA". It matches the Rfam family "Bacterial small subunit ribosomal RNA", at positions 29 to 507 of the family's 1533-position model. The record is from RNAcentral.
AACGAACGCUGGCGGCAUGCCUAACACAUGCAAGUCGAACGAGACCUUCGGGUCUAGUGGCGCACGGGUGCGUAACGCGUGGGAAUCUGCCCUUGGGUUCGGAAUAACAGUUGGAAACGACUGCUAAUACCGGAUGAUGACGUAAGUCCAAAGAUUUAUCGCCCAAGGAUGAGCCCGCGUAGGAUUAGCUAGUUGGUGAGGUAAAGGCUCACCAAGGCGACGAUCCUUAGCUGGUCGGAGAGGAUGAUCAGCCACACUGGGACUGAGACACGGCCCAGACUCCUACGGGAGGCAGCAGUGGGGAAUAUUGGACAAUGGGCGAAAGCCUGAUCCAGCAAUGCCGCGUGAGUGAUGAAGGCCUUAGGGUUGUAAAGCUCUUUUACCCGGGAUGAUAAUGACAGUACCGGGAGAAUAAGCUCCGGCUAACUCCGUG